AUGAAAACAUGCAAUAUUUGUCUUUUUGUGCCUGGCUUAUUUCAAUUCACAUAAUAACCUCCAGUUCCAUCCAUGUUGCUGCAAAUGACAGCGUUUUAUUUUUUAUGGGCAAAUAGUAUUCAAAUUGUAUACACAUACACAUAUAUAUUCAUCUGUUGCUGGACAUAUAGGUUGAUUCCGUAUCUUGGCCACUGUGAAUAGUGCUGCACUAAACAUGUGAGUGCAGGUAUCCCUUUGAUAUACUGAUCUCCUUUCUUUUGGAUAAAUAUCCAGGAGUGGGAUUGCUGGAUCACAUGGUAGUUCUAUAUUUAGUAUUUUGAGAAUUCUCCAUACUGUUUUUCAUAAUGGCAUGCUAAUGUUCAUUCCCACCAAUGUUGUAUAAGAGUUCUCUUUUCUCCGCCACCUCACCAGCAUUUAUUUGUUGUCUUUUUGAAAUAGCCAUUCUAACUGGGAGGAGAUGAUAUCUCACUGUGGUUUUAACUUGUAAUUCCCUGAUGAUUAGCGAUGUUGAGCAUGUUUUCAUAUACUUGUGGGUCAUUUGUAUGUCUUCUUUUGCUAAAUGUCCAUUCAGAUCAUUUGCCCAUUUUAAUGUGGUUGUUUUUUGGCUGUUGAGUUGUUUGAAUCCUUGUAUCUUCUGGAUAUUAGUCCUUUGUCAGAUGAAUAGUUUGCCUUCAUUAUGUUGAGGUAUGUUCCCUCUAUACUUAAUUUGUUGAGAGUUUUUAUCAUGAAGGGAUGUUGAAUUUUAUCAAAUGCUUUUUCUGCAUCUAUUGAGAUGAUCAUAUAGUUUUUAUUCUUCAUUCUGUUGAUGUGAUAUAUCACAUUUAUUGAUGUGUAUAUGUUGAACCACCCUUGCAUCCCUGGAAUAAAUCCCACUUGAUCAUGGUGUAUUAUCUUUUUGAUGUGUUGUUGGAUUCAGUUUGCUAGUAUUUGUUGAAGAUUUUUGCGUCUAUGUUUAUCAGAGAUACUGGCCUGUAGUUUUCUCUUUCUUCUUUUGUCAUGUCCUUGUCUUAUUUUUGAUAUCAGGGUAAUUCUGGCUUCAUAGAAUGAGUUAGGAAGAAUUCCUUCCUCUUCCACUUUUUGGAAUAGUUUGAGAAGAAUUGAUGUUACCUGUUCUUUAUAAUUUUAGUAAAAUUCAGCAGUAAAACCAUUUGGUCCUCGGCUUUUCUUUGUUGGAAGAUGUUUCAUUACUGAUUCAAUCUCAUUACUCAUUAUUUGUCUGUUCAGGUUUUCUGUUUCUUCCUGGUUCAAUCUUAGUAGGAUAUAUAUAUUCAGGACUUUAUUUCCUCUAGGUUUUCCAAUUUAUUAGUGUAUAGUUGUUCAUAACAGUCUCUAAUGAUCCUUUGUAUUUCUGUGUGUUCAUUGUAAUGUCUCCUUUGUCAUUUCUGAUUUUAUUUGGGUCUUCUAUUUUUUUUGUUAGUAUAGCUAGUGGUUCAUCAAUUUUUCUUGUAUUUUUUAAAAACUAACUUUUUGUUUUGUUGAUCCUUUGUAUUGAUUCUUCAUCUUUAUUUUGUUUAGUUCUGUUCUGAUUUUAUUUCUUUCCUUUGGUUGAUUUUGGGUUUUAUUUGAUUUUGCUUUUCCAGUUCCUUGAGGUACAUCAUCAACUUAUUUAUUUGAAAUCUUUCUAUUUUUUAAUAUAGGCUUUUAUUGCUAUAAACUUCUCUCUUCACACUGCUUUUGCUGUAUCCCAUAGGUUUUGGUAUGUUGUGUUCCUGUUUUCAUUUGUUUUAAGAAAUUUUUGGAUUUUUAUCUUAAUUUCCUCAUUGACCCAGUGGUCAUUCAGGAGCAUGGUGUUUAAUUUACAUGAGUUUAUAUAGUUCCCAAAGUUCCUCUUGUUAUUGACUUCUAGUUUCAUUCCAAUGUUGUCUGAUAAGAUAUGUGAUUGAUUUUGACUUUUUAAAAUAUUUUGAGGCUUGUCUGUGGCGUAACAUAUGAUCUGUCCUGGAGAACGAUCCAUGUGCUGAUGAGAAGAAUAUAUAUUCUGCAUCUGUCAGGUAAAAUGUUCUGUAGAUGUGUGUUAGGUUCAUUUGGUCUAAAAUACAGUUUAAAUCUAUUUUUUUUGGUUGAUUUUCUGUCUAGAUUAUUUGUUCAAUCCUGAGAGUAGGGUGUUAAAUUCCCUAACUAUUAUCGUAUCGGAAUCUACCUCUCCCUUUAGAACUAAUAACAUUUACUUUAUAUAUCUGGGUGCUCCAGUGUUGGAUGCAUAUAUAUUAAGAACUGCUUUACCAUCUUGCUUAAAUUGAUCACUUUAUCAUUAUAUAAUGACCUUCUUUGUCUCUCUUUAUAGUUUUUGACUUAAAGUCUGAUUUAUCUAAGUAUAGCUAUUCCUGCUCACUUUUGGGUUUCAUUUGCAUAGAAUAUCUUUGUUCAUCUCUUCACUUUCAGUCUAUAUGUGUCUUCACAAGUGAAGUGAGUUUCUUGUAGGCAACAUAGAGUUGGGUCCUGUACUUUAAUCCAUUCAGCCAGUCUAUACAUGUAUAUCUAUAUUUUUUGAGACGGAGUUUCUAUCUUGUUACCCAGGCUGGAGUGCAGUGGCACGAUCUCAGCUCACAGCAACCUCCUCCUCCCAGAUUCAAGAGGUUCUCCUGCCUCAGUCUCCCAAGUAGCUGGGAUUACAGGUGUCUACCACCUUGCCGGGCUAAUUUUUUUUUUUUUUUUGUAUUUUUAGUAGAGACAGGGUUUUGCCAUGUUGGCCAAGCUAGUCUUGAACUCCUGGCUUCGGGUGAUCUCCCUGUCUCGGCCUCUCAAAGUACUGGAAUUACAGGCAUGAGCCACUGCACCUGGCACAGUCUAUAUUUUUUAAAUGGAAUAGUUUUUUUUUAAUGUACAGAGUCUCACUCUGUCACCCAGGCUAGAGUGCAGUGGCACAAUCUCAUCUCACUGCAACCUCUGACUCCCGGGUUCAAGUAAUUCUCAUGCCUCAGCCACCUGAGUAGCUUGGAUUAUAUGCAUAUGCCACAACGCCCAGCUAAUUUUUGUAAUUUAGUAGAGACAGGGUUUUGUCAUGUUGGCCAGGCUGGUCACAAACUCCUGGCCUCAAGUGAUCCGCCCACCUUGGCCUCCCAAAGUGCUGGGAUUACAGGCAUGAGCCACUGCACCCAGCCUUAAGUGGAGAAUUUAAUCCAUUUACUUUCAAAGCUAUUAUUGAUGGGUGAGUACUCAUGCCUGUUAUUUUGUUAACUGUUUUCUCAUUGUUUUGUAUAUCCUUUCUUCCUCCCUUACUGUUUAUCAUUGUCAUGUGGUGGUUUUUCAUAGUGGAAACAUUUGACUCCUUUCUCUUUCUCAUUUGCAUAUCUACUCUACCAGUGAGUUUUAUACUUUCUGUGUUUUCAUGAUGAUAGGUAUCUUCUAGAUGUUAGACUCCCUUAAGCAUUUCUUAUAGGACCAGUCCAGUGGCAAUUAGUUCUCUCUGUUUUUGCUCAUCUGACAAAGACUAUUUCCCUUCAUUUUUGAGGGAUAGCUUUGCAGGCUAUACUAUGCUUGACUGGCAGGUUUUUCUUUCAGCAUUUUGAAUGCAUCAUCACGUUCCCAGCUUGUGAGGUUUCUUCUGGGAACUCCACUGUUAGUCUGAUGAGUAUUCCCUUAUAUGUGACUUGACACUUUACUCUUGCUGUUUUUAACAUUCUCUCUCUCUCUCUUUCUCUCACUCUCUCUCUCUCUUUUUGAGACAGGGUCUAACACUGUCACUCAGGCUGAAGUGCAGUGGUAUAAUCAUGGCUCACUGCAGCCUCAACUUCCUGGGCUCAAGUGAUCCUCCUGCCUCAGCCUCCCAAGUAGCUGGGACUACAGGUGCAUGCCACCACACCCAACUGAUUUUUUUAUUUUUGUAGAGAUGGAACUUGCUCUGUUGCCCAGGCUGGUCUUGAACUCCUGGACUCAAGUUAACCUCCCACCUCAGCCUCCCAAAGUGUUGGGAUUACAGGCAUGAGCCACCAUGCCCAGCCUCUCUUUGCCAUUGACAUUUGACAGUUUGACCAUAAUGUGCCUUGAAGAAGACCUUUUUGUUGUGUAUUUGAGAAUCUUAGAGCUUCCUGUAUCUGGAUGUCCAUAUCUCUUGUAAGAGUUGGGACAUUUUCAGCUCUUAUAUCAUUAAAAAGGUUUUCUACACUUUUGCCCAUCUCUUCUUCAGGAACUCCAAAAAGUUGAAUAUUUGGCAACUUACGGUGUUUCAUAUAUCAUAUAGCCUUUCUUCUUAUUUUUUACUGUUUUUCUUUUCUUUUCUUUUUUGAGACAGGGUCUUGCUCUAUCACCCAGGCUAGAAUGCAGUGGUGCAAUCUGGGCUCACUGCAACCUUCAUCUCCCAGGUGCAAGUGAUCCUCCCACCUCAGCCUCCCAAGUAGCUGGGACUACAGGCAUGCACCACCACACCUGGCUAAUUUUUUGUAAUUUUUGUAGAAAUGAGGUUUCGCCGUGUUGCCCAGGCUGGUCUCACACUCCUGGGCUCAAGCAAUCUACCCACGUGGCCUCCCAAAGUGUUGAGAUUACAGACAUGAGCCACCACACCCAGCACUCUUUUAUUUUUUGUUUGACAAGGCUAUUUCAAAAGCCGUGUUUUCAAGUUCCAAAAUUAUUUCUUCUGCUUGAUCUAGUCUAUUGUUGAAGCUCUUGAUUGUUUUUAUUUUAUUUUAUUCUUCAAACCUGGAACAGAAUUCUUCAGUUCCAGGAUUCCCAUUUGGCAUUUUUUAAUGAUGGCUCUGUUUUUUUUUUUUUUAACUUUUUUCAUUUAUAUCAUGAAUUGUUUCCCUGAUUUCCUUUUUUCUUUUUUUUCUUUGAGAUGGAGUCUGGCUCUGUCACCCAGGCUGGAGAGCAGUGGCAUGAUCUUGGUUCACUGCAACCUCUGCCUCCCCGGUUCAAGUGAUUCUCCUGCCUCAGCCUCCCGAGUAGCUGGGAUCACAGGCAUACGCCACCACACCCAGCUAAUUUUUGUGUUUUUAGUAGAGAUGAGGUUUCGCCACAUUCGCCAGGCUGGUCUCGAACUCUUGACCUCCAGUGAUCCACCCGCCUCAGCCUCCCAAAGUACUGGGAUUACAGGCUUGAGCCACUCCCCCGGCCCCUGAUUUCUCUGUAUUGUUUAUCUUUGCUGUCUUGUAUCUCACUGAGUUUUUAAACUUAUUUUGAAUUUUUUUGAGCAUUUCAUCAUUUCUUUAGGAUCUGUUCCUGGAGAAAUAUUGUGUUCCUUUGGAGGCGUCACGUUUCCUUUGUGUGUGUGUGUUUCUUGUGUCCUUGUGUUGAUAUCUGCGCAUCUGGUGUAACAGUCAUUUCUUCUAAUUUUAUGGAUUGGCUUUUGUAGGGAAAGACAUUUUCCUGUAGAUACACCGAUAAUGUUGGUUGGUAUUGUAGUCUGUUCUCACAUUGCCAUAAAGAACUGCCUGAGACUGGGUAAUUUAUAAAGAGGCUUAAUCGGCUCACGUUCCCACAGGCUGUCCAGGAAGCACGGCUGGCUAGGCCUCGGGAGACCUUCCAUCAUGGUGGAAGGUGAAGGGGAAGCCGGCACAUCCUUUGAGGCUGGAGCGGGAGGAAGAGGGUGAAGGGGGAGGUGCCACACACUUUUAAACAACCAGAUCUUGUGAGAACUCAGUCACUAUCACGAGAACAGCAAGGGGGAAAUCCGCCCCCUUGAUCCAAUCACCUCUGUCCAGACCCCUCCUACAAUUUAACAUGAGAUGUGGCUGGGGACACAAAUCCAAACCAUUCCAUUCUGCCCCAGCCCCUCCCAAAUCUCAUAUCCUUCUCACACUGCAAAAUACAAUCAUCCCUUCUCAACAGUCCCUCACGUCUUAACUCAUUUCGGCAUUAACUCAAAAGUCCACAGUCCAAAGUCUCAUCUGAGACAAGGCCAGUCCCUUCCACCUAUGAGCCUGUAAAAUCAAAAACAAAUUAGUUACUUCCAAGAUACAAUGGGGGUACAAACAUUGACUAAAUACUACCAAUCCAAAAAGGCAAACUGGCCAAAACAAAGGGGCUACAGGCCCCAUGCAAGUUUGAAACCCAGCAGGGCAGUCAUUAAAUCUUAAAGCUCCAAAAUAAUCUCCUUCAACCCUGUGUCUCGUAUCCAGGCCACAUUGGCUCAAGGGGUGGGCUCUGCCCUGUGGCUCUGCAGGAUGCAGCCCCCACAGCUGUGGUGGCAAUGGGGAGCCAGGUGGGCAGCAUGUAGCAGUUGGGUGCUUUUCCAUCCAUCCCAAUCACGGAAAAUUCCCGAUUCCUG
Molecule: long non-coding RNA, 6202 nt
Filed under: Homo sapiens (human)
Lineage: Eukaryota; Metazoa; Chordata; Mammalia; Primates; Hominidae
Description: HSALNT0216439
Source: RNAcentral